AGGAUGAACGCUGGCGGCGUGCCUAAUACAUGCAAGUCGAGCGAACGGACGAGAAGCUUGCUUCUCUGAUGUUAGCGGCGGACGGGUGAGUAACACGUGGAUAACCUACCUAUAAGACUGGGAUAACUUCGGGAAACCGGAGCUAAUACCGGAUAAUAUUUUGAACCGCAUGGUUCAAAAGUGAAAGACGGUCUUGCUGUCACUUAUAGAUGGAUCCGCGCUGCAUUAGCUAGUUGGUAAGGUAACGGCUUACCAAGGCAACGAUGCAUAGCCGACCUGAGAGGGUGAUCGGCCACACUGGAACUGAGACACGGUCCAGACUCCUACGGGAGGCAGCAGUAGGGAAUCUUCCGCAAUGGGCGAAAGCCUGACGGAGCAACGCCGCGUGAGUGAUGAAGGUCUUCGGAUCGUAAAACUCUGUUAUUAGGGAAGAACAUAUGUGUAAGUAACUGUGCACAUCUUGACGGUACCUAAUCAGAAAGCCACGGCUAACUACGUGCCAGCAGCCGCGGUAAUACGUAGGUGGCAAGCGUUAUCCGGAAUUAUUGGGCGUAAAGCGCGCGUAGGCGGUUUUUUAAGUCUGAUGUGAAAGCCCACGGCUCAACCGUGGAGGGUCAUUGGAAACUGGAAAACUUGAGUGCAGAAGAGGAAAGUGGAAUUCCAUGUGUAGCGGUGAAAUGCGCAGAGAUAUGGAGGAACACCAGUGGCGAGGGCGACUUUCUGGUCUGUAACUGACGCUGAUGUGCGAAAGCGUGGGGAUCAAACAGGAUUAGAUACCCUGGUAGUCCACGCCGUAAACGAUGAGUGCUAAGUGUUAGGGGGUUUCCGCCCCUUAGUGCUGCAGCUAACGCAUUAAGCACUCCGCCUGGGGAGUACGACCGCAAGGUUGAAACUCAAAGGAAUUGACGGGGACCCGCACAAGCGGUGGAGCAUGUGGUUUAAUUCGAAGCAACGCGAAGAACCUUACCAAAUCUUGACAUCCUUUGACAACUCUAGAGAUAGAGCUUUCCCCUUCGGGGGACAAAGUGACAGGUGGUGCAUGGUUGUCGUCAGCUCGUGUCGUGAGAUGUUGGGUUAAGUCCCGCAACGAGCGCAACCCUUAAGCUUAGUUGCCAUCAUUAAGUUGGGCACUCUAAGUUGACUGCCGGUGACAAACCGGAGGAAGGUGGGGAUGACGUCAAAUCAUCAUGCCCCUUAUGAUUUGGGCUACACACGUGCUACAAUGGACAAUACAAAGGGCAGCGAAACCGCGAGGUCAAGCAAAUCCCAUAAAGUUGUUCUCAGUUCGGAUUGUAGUCUGCAACUCGACUACAUGAAGCUGGAAUCGCUAGUAAUCGUAGAUCAGCAUGCUACGGUGAAUACGUUCCCGGGUCUUGUACACACCG
RNAcentral lists this ribosomal RNA (1385 nucleotides) under uncultured microorganism. RNAcentral describes it as "bacterial SSU rRNA". It matches the Rfam family "Bacterial small subunit ribosomal RNA", at positions 26 to 1392 of the family's 1533-position model. The record is from RNAcentral.